ACCUGCCUCAAGGCUGGGGAUAACAUUUGGAAACAGAUGCUAAUACCGAAUAAAACUUAGUAUCGCAUGAUAUCAAGUUAAAAGGCGCUACGGCGUCACCUAGAGAUGGAUCCGCGGUGCAUUAGUUAGUUGGUGGGGUAAAGGCUUACCAAGACGAUGAUGCAUAGCCGAGUUGAGAGACUGAUCGGCCACAUUGGGACUGAGACACGGCCCAAACUCCUACGGGAGGCUGCAGUAGGGAAUCUUCCACAAUGGGCGCAAGCCUGAUGGAGCAACGCCGCGUGUGUGAUGAAGGCUUUCGGGUCGUAAAGCACUGUUGUAUGGGAAGAAAUGCUAAAAUAGGGAAUGAUUUUAGUUUGACGGUACCAUACCAGAAAGGGACGGCUAAAUACGUGCCAGCAGCCGCGGUAAUACGUAUGUCCCGAGCGUUAUCCGGAUUUAUUGGGCGUAAAGCGAGCGCAGACGGUUGAUUAAGUCUGAUGUGAAAGCCCGGAGCUCAACUCCGGAAUGGCAUUGGAAACUGGUUAACUUGAGUGUUGUAGAGGUAAGUGGAACUCCAUGUGUAGCGGUGGAAUGCGUAGAUAUAUGGAAGAACACCAGUGGCGAAGGCGGCUUACUGGACAACAACUGACGUUGAGGCUCGAAAGUGUGGGUAGCAAACAGGAUUAGAUACCCUGGUAGUCCACACCGUAAACGAUGAAUACUAGGUGUUAGGAGGUUUCCGCCUCUUAGUGCCGAAGCUAACGCAUUAAGUAUUCCGCCUGGGGAGUACGACCGCAAGGUUGAAACUCAAAGGAAUUGACGGGGACCCGCACAAGCGGUGGAGCAUGUGGUUUAAUUCGAAGCAACGCGAAGAACCUUACCAGGUCUUGACAUCCUUUGAAGCUUUUAGAGAUAGAAGUGUUCUCUUCGGAGACAAAGUGACAGGUGGUGCAUGGUCGUCGUCAGCUCGUGUCGUGAGAUGUUGGGUUAAGUCCCGCAACGAGCGCAACCCUUAUUGUUAGUUGCCAGCAUUCAGUUGGGCACUCUAGCGAGACUGCCGGUGACAAACCGGAGGAAGGCGGGGACGACGUCAGAUCAUCAUGCCCCUUAUGACCUGGGCUACACACGUGCUACAAUGGCGUAUACAACGAGUUGCCAACCUGCGAAGGUGAGCUAAUCUCUUAAAGUACGUCUCAGUUCGGACUGCAGUCUGCAACUCGACUGCACGAAGUCGGAAUCGCUAGUAAUCGCGGAUCAGCACGCCGCGGUGAAUACGUUCCCGGGUCUUGUACACACCGCCCGUCACACCAUGGGAGUUUGUAAUGCCCAAA
RNAcentral lists this ribosomal RNA (1313 nucleotides) under Leuconostoc citreum. RNAcentral's name for it is "bacterial SSU rRNA". It matches the Rfam family "Bacterial small subunit ribosomal RNA", at positions 124 to 1425 of the family's 1533-position model. Lineage: Bacteria; Bacillati; Bacillota; Bacilli; Lactobacillales; Lactobacillaceae. The record is from RNAcentral.